Molecule: ribosomal RNA, 468 nt
Filed under: uncultured bacterium
Lineage: Bacteria
Description: partial 16S ribosomal RNA
Rfam family: Bacterial small subunit ribosomal RNA
Source: RNAcentral
GAUGAACGCUGGCGGCGUGCUUAACACAUGCAAGUCGAACGGUGAAGGCGGAGCUUGCUCUGCUGGAUCAGUGGCGAACGGGUGAGUAACACGUGAGCAAUCUGCCCCUGACUCUGGGAUAAGCGCUGGAAACGGCGUCUAAUACUGGAUACGAGCUGCGAAGGCAUCUUCAGCAGCUGGAAAUAACUUCGGUCAGGGAUGAGCUCGCGGCCUAUCAGCUUGUUGGUGAGGUAACGGCUCACCAAGGCGUCGACGGGUAGCCGGCCUGAGAGGGUGACCGGCCACACUGGGACUGAGACACGGCCCAGACUCCUACGGGAGGCAGCAGUGGGGAAUAUUGCACAAUGGGCGAAAGCCUGAUGCAGCAACGCCGCGUGAGGGACGACGGCCUUCGGGUUGUAAACCUCUUUUAGCAGGGAAGAAGCGAAAGUGACGGUACCUGCAGAAAAAGCGCCGGCUAACUACGUG